RNAcentral lists this ribosomal RNA (87 nucleotides) under Erinaceus europaeus (western European hedgehog). The record is from RNAcentral. Lineage: Eukaryota; Metazoa; Chordata; Mammalia; Eulipotyphla; Erinaceidae.
CGCUUUGGGACUACAACCCUGAAUAUACCCAAUCAUGUCUGAUUUUGAAGGUAAAUCAGGGUCAGGCUUAGAUUAGUACUUGAGUGG